AAGGAAAGGAAAGGAAAGGAAAGGAAAGGAAAGGAAAGGAAAGGAGGAGGAAAAGGGCAAGGGAGAAGGAGGAGGAGAGGAAGGAAAGAGAAGGAAAAAGAUGGAAAAAGGAAAAAGAAGGAAAAGGAAAAAGGAAAAGAAGGAAAAGGGAAAAGGAGAAGGUAAAAAGGAGAAAAGGAAAAGGAAAAGAAAAAAUUAAAAGGAAAAGAAGAGAAGGACAAGGAGAAGAGGAAGGGAAAGAAGGAGAAAAGGACAGAGAAGGAAAAGAGAAGAGCAAAGAGAGGAGAAGGAGCAAGAGAGGAAGAGGAAGGGAAAGGUGAGGAAGAAGAGGAGGAGGACAAGAAAAAGAAGGGCAAGGAAAGGAGAAGGAGAAGAGAAGAGGAAGGGCAGUGGGGGUGGGACGAGAAGCUGAGAGGCACCGGGUGCCCCCCGCUCCCCAUCCCUCAGGGCCAGGCGUCCUCCUCCAGCCCCUCGGCGUCCCGGGGGGGCCAGGGGGGCUCGAGCAGGGAGGAGAGGACGCUCUGCAGGGCCCGCCAGGGCUGGGGGGCACCGGGGGGCCGCGGCGUGGGGAUGCGGGACGGCUUCUUGCCGGGCUGCGUGUCCAACCGCGGCUUGGCACGGGGGCGCAGGGUGGGGGGCAUGGGGUAGGGGACCCCCGGUGCCAUCCCCUUGCCCCCCGUCCCUUCGUCCUCGUCCUCCUCAUCCUCAUCCUCCUCUCCUGGCACCCACUCGGGGUCGGACUCGGCGCCGGAGGCUGGCACCAAGCUGCUCUCGUCCGAGGAGCUGGAGGGGCGCCCGUGCCCCCCCCCACCACCGCCGCCACCCUCCUGCGCUUGGGGGGCUGCCGUAAGGGGGGGCCCGGCCCCUCCGUGCUUGCUGAAAACGUUGAGGGAGGAUGAGGAG
RNAcentral lists this long non-coding RNA (903 nucleotides) under Anas platyrhynchos platyrhynchos (common mallard). RNAcentral describes it as "lncRNA (ENSAPLG00000028467.1)". The record is from RNAcentral. Lineage: Eukaryota; Metazoa; Chordata; Aves; Anseriformes; Anatidae.